UUUCCUGUAAUGCGCUGUAUGAGUGAUGAGCGGAUGGGAGCGGAGGGUAAUAGGAUUACUGCAGCUGAAUGGGAGAAAAAACUUCCCCGUGUUCCCUGCAGUCGUGGGGAGGAGGCAGCUGAUUGGUCAGAGGUGGUCGCCCCGCGCUGCGCUCCGAGGACUAAAGCUGUGCUGCCAGGUGAAGUCAGCAGACCGGGAGCAGGACAUGCGGGAUCCACACCGCCCAGGUGAGACGCCCCCCACACUGUACACACCGUCCAGGAUCUGAGGAGCCGAGGGCAGAAUGAUAGCAUGGGCCUCCACGUCUCCUGUCUGAAAGCGCUGCAGAUGUGUAACAGCAGCGACGAAGCUUCCAGAAGAUUCCCGGACAGACACCUGAACGUCCCAGACAUCAUCAUCACCCCUCCCACCCCGACUGGGACCUUGAAUGCCAAAACAGCAGUCCAACAUGGCCGCCCGGCCUCCCCCGCGAAGAGACGCAGAUGAUGGGGGAGGGGCGUUAACCCUCAGAGAAGGCGAACGUCUUGUGCAGACAGCACAGGGUGACUGCUGCGUAAUACAAACGAUAAAACUUUAUUGUCCAAGUGCUGAGACAAACACAUUUUAUAUAUUUUUAUUAUAACGUUCCCCCCCCCCCCCCCAGGACAUUUAUCUAAGUGAUGGAGCACCGCCAUCAUCCUGUCCUUCCUCGUUACUGAGAUCUCUAGAACGGGAAGAACCUGCACUAACGAACAAUAAAAAUGUGAAAACCGUC
RNA transcript from Bufo bufo (common toad), 754 nucleotides. It is a transcript of the gene named chromosome 10 C16orf74 homolog, with no coding region annotated. The record is from RefSeq and is a predicted model, not a curated record. The transcript has 3 exons. NCBI's taxonomy places the organism in Eukaryota, Metazoa, Chordata, Amphibia, Anura, Bufonidae.